UAAACUAGGAUUAGAUACCCUUUAUAUUUUAUAUGUUAUUUUUUACUAGGGUAUUAAUAGUUAUGUUCUUUAAACCUAAAGAAUUUGGCGGUGUUUUAGUCUAUUUAGAGGAAUUUGUUUCUUUAUCGAUAAUCCCCGUUUUAUCUUACUUUAUUUUGUUAGGAGUAUGUAUACCGCCGUUAUAAGUUUAUUUUUAUAGGAUAUAAAUUUACUUAAUUCUUUACUGUGAUUUAUUUCAGGUCAAGGUGCAGUUAAUAAUAAAGUGUUAAUGAAUUACAAUAUUAUUUGAAUAUAAUGGAUUUAUAUUUUAAAACUUUAAUGAAGGUGGAUUUAAUUGUAAUUUUAUUUAUAAUGUUACUUUGAACUUAGCUCUAGAAUAAGUACACAUCG
This 390-nucleotide ribosomal RNA is filed under the name Neohirasea maerens. RNAcentral's name for it is "partial 12S ribosomal RNA". The record is from RNAcentral. Lineage: Eukaryota; Metazoa; Arthropoda; Insecta; Phasmatodea; Lonchodidae.